Molecule: ribosomal RNA, 402 nt
Filed under: Verrucomicrobiota bacterium
Lineage: Bacteria; Pseudomonadati; Verrucomicrobiota
Description: Verrucomicrobia bacterium partial 16S ribosomal RNA
Rfam family: Bacterial small subunit ribosomal RNA
Source: RNAcentral
UGGGGAAUUUUGCACAAUGGGGGAAACCCUGAUGCAGCGACGCCGCGUGAUUUAGAAGGCCUUCGGGUUGUAAAAAUCUGUUUUAUGGGAUGAAAAUGACAGUACCAUAAGAAUAAGGUCCGGCUAAAUACGUGCCAGCAGCCGCGGUAAUACGUAUGGACCGAGCGUUGUCCGGAAUCAUUGGGCGUAAAGGGUACGUAGGCGGCCCAGUAAGUUAGAAGUGAAAUAAUAUAGCUCAACUAUAUAAAGCUUUUAAAACUGCUAGGCUUGAGAGAUGGAAGGGAAAGUGGAAUUCCUAGUGUAGCGGUGAAAUGCGCAGAUAUUAGGAAGAAUACCGGUGGCGAAGGCGACUUUCUGGUCAUCAUCUGACGCUGAGGUACGAAAGCGUGGGUAGCAAACAGG